Molecule: unclassified non-coding RNA, 646 nt
Filed under: Exophiala phaeomuriformis
Lineage: Eukaryota; Fungi; Ascomycota; Eurotiomycetes; Chaetothyriales; Herpotrichiellaceae
Description: sequence contains 18S rRNA gene, ITS1, 5.8S rRNA gene, ITS2, 28S rRNA gene
Rfam family: 5.8S ribosomal RNA (bases 244-398)
Source: RNAcentral
AGUCGUAACAAGGUUUCCGUAGGUGAACCUGCGGAAGGAUCAUUAAAGAGUUAGGGUCUUCUCAGGCCCGACCUCCCAACCCUUUGUCUAUUGAACCCUUGUUGCUUCGGCGGGCCCGUCGUUAUACGGCCGCCGGAGGACCGACUCCAGGUCCUCUGGCCCGCGCCCGCCGGUAGCCAAAAUCACCAAACUCUUGAAUAAUCGUGUCUAUGAUGUCUGAGUACUUUUAUUAAAAUUAAGCAAAACUUUCAACAACGGAUCUCUUGGUUCUGGCAUCGAUGAAGAACGCAGCGAAAUGCGAUAAGUAAUGCGAAUUGCAGAAUUCCAGUGAGUCAUCGAAUCUUUGAACGCACAUUGCGCCCUUUGGUAUUCCGAAGGGCAUGCCUGUUCGAGCGUCAUUAUCACCCCUCAAGCCCUCCGGCUUGGUGUUGGACGGUCUGGUCGAGCUGCUCGACCCCUCCCAAAGACAAUGACGGCGGCCUGGUUGGACCCCCGGUACAUGGAGCUUCUUGAUUGAGCACGUAUCGGUUUCAAGGCGUCCCCGGGACCCGGUCUCACUCUCUCCCCUCGCGGGAGGGAACCCCCCUUUUUUCUAAGGUUGACCUCGGAUCAGGUAGGAAUACCCGCUGAACUUAAGCAUAUCAAU